CCGGCCUGCUUGUUUGAGAGCAGCUCACGUGAAGCACUUUACAGACGAGGAAGCUGAAACUCACGGCUUAAACUCCAGUACUGGGAUUGCUACCGAUUCCAUCAAGCAAGCUGGUCCUCUCCCACCAACUGAAGAGACGGUGAGAGUAUGUGACCUGGGCUGGGCCCUGAAGUCCUGGUCCAGAUCUCUGCCGCCUGCUCGUGUAUGUUAUGGAAACAUGUGAACACAUGGCCAGAACCCCCUUCCAGUCCUUGGAAGGGACCCAUUCAAGUGAGAAACUCUGGAGUUUGAGAAUGAUUAGAUUCACUGUUACUCUGGCUCUGCAAAUGCCUCAGUGUGUACUGUUAACCAAACCUGUUGGCCCAGGACCCAAGAAACUGCAGUUUGAACCACUAAGCCCCACGCUUUCUGGAAAUGAAACAUAGCUGCUGCUGCGCUAGAGAAGAUUCUGCUCUCUCCUUGCUUUGGCUUCCUCUCUAACAUCCUCGCUGGAUCAGGCCGUGAAGAUCAGCACUCAUCUCAAACACACUGCCAGUCACCUUGAACGACAAGCAGCCCCAGCAGAGCAUGGAUGAGUGCUACAAAUUCUCUUCUGUUCCUUAAUGCUCCGACCACCAAGCAUGGGACAGAGCCCAGCCAAGAUCAGCAGAGACACCUUCCUGACCUGCAGCUGACCUCAGAUGGAUGAGUGAACCCAGCCAGGACCACAGACCUCAGGCUUUUCUGUGGGCUCAUGAGCAGAAACAAUGAUUGUUUUAUCCUCUGGAGUUUUCAGGUGGUUUGUAUGUGGCUAUCAUUGAGUGAUAUGGGAAUCAUGUGGGACACCAGGAAGGCAAGAGGUGUGGGACAACUCAGAGCUCUCUCUCUCCCUUCUCUUUGGGGGACAAGCUAUGAGUCAGCUACUGAGCAGAAGCUAUCAAAUAAAUAAGAAAAAGAAAAAUAGCUACUGUUUAAUGAGCACCUACUAUGUGGAAGGCAAGCUUGUGGGGUGAGGACUGACAGUCACAGCUAGAUGACACGUACACUCCCUUUCUGUUGUUCUAACAGAACCUUAUUUGAGCUCUGUACCCAGCUUUGAAAGUGACAUUUCCUAAGCCCCCUUGCAGUUGGGGGUGGCCAUGUGAUGAGCUGUAAGUGGGUAGGGCUCUGGGAAAGCUUUUUCACAGGGAGGCUGAUCCAAUUGGUACAUGCCUUUUGUUAUUUGCUGUACUCAUUCCUGCUUCUUAGAAAGGCAUUGGAAUGACUGGAGCUGUUGCAGCCAUUUUCUCACUAUGAGGGAGAAGCCAAGA
Molecule: long non-coding RNA, 1289 nt
Organism: Manis pentadactyla (Chinese pangolin)
Lineage: Eukaryota; Metazoa; Chordata; Mammalia; Pholidota; Manidae
Exons: 4
Source: RefSeq, a predicted model, not a curated record